AAUUUUGUCUGAGGCAACAGCAUGAUAGGAUUUUGUUUUGUGUUUUAAGGACAAUGACUCUACUAUUUGUACAUAUGAAAACAGGCGGGGGAUUGAAGAGAAGAGGACCAGCCAAAGUUACAUAUAUGGUCAAUGCACAGAAAGAAAUCUGUCUCCUGACUUUAGGACAAUGGCACGAUUGGUGGCCACAGUCCAAGGAUGGUUGCUGGUGAGCAGUUACAGAUGCCCCAAGACACAGCAGGCGUGCUGUCUGUCUUCAGUGAUCAUAACUGUUAUGUAAGCUGUCUGACUGUUCUGAGCUCAUGAUGUUGCAAGGAAGUUCAAAUUAUUCCACAUUAAAAAAGAAAACCCACAAUGGCUCUAAGACUACAUUAAGAAAAAAGGAUGCCCAGCUCUCUCCCACCUGCUCUUCUAGCUCCAGCCGCCAUCUGAUGUAAUCACAUGUAAGAUGCAAAGUCAGAACCACCGAUCAAAGUCUAUCUUGAAUUAUUCUAACACAGUAUCUGUGAGAUAGAAUAGUUUUUGUUCAUUUUAGCCAAUAGAUUUUGAGAUAAUUUGUUAUCUAUCUAUUGCUACUCUGAAUAUUAAGUUCUGUAUUUCCUUGUACACCCACUUUAUUUACAAAACCUUAAAUCUUGAUAAAGCCUUUACAUACUACUUACAGUUUGC
RNAcentral lists this long non-coding RNA (669 nucleotides) under Rhinopithecus bieti (black snub-nosed monkey). RNAcentral describes it as "lncRNA (ENSRBIG00000045388.1)". The record is from RNAcentral. Lineage: Eukaryota; Metazoa; Chordata; Mammalia; Primates; Cercopithecidae.